CGGAGCUGUCACAGUAAGAGCGGGAGAAGGGGGAGGGGGGACAGUUAGUGCAAGUUUUCCCACAAACACCAAACUCCUCAGCUUGCUUCUCAGGCAGUAACACGGACACACGACAGGGCAGCAUUUCUGAAAAGCGGAUCCAUUUGCUCCCUGCCCUGUUAGCGAGGCUUCAGAGGGGAAACUCGGGGAAGCCCCCUACCCCGGGGC
Long non-coding RNA from Oxyura jamaicensis (ruddy duck), 207 nucleotides. RefSeq lists it as uncharacterized. The record is from RefSeq and is a predicted model, not a curated record. The transcript has 4 exons. Lineage: Eukaryota; Metazoa; Chordata; Aves; Anseriformes; Anatidae.